GACGAACGCUGGCGGCGUGCUUAACACAUGCAAGUCGGACGGUCGGCACUGGAAGGUUCGCUGGAAGGUGCCGGUAGUGGCGGACGGGUGAGUAACGCGUGAGGACAUGGCUCCAGGAGGGGGAUAACGUUUGGAAACGGACGCUAAGACCCCAUAUGCCGGAAGGUGAAAAUGGUGCAAGCCAGCCUGGAGAGUGACUCGCGUCCUAUCAGCUAGUUGGUGGGGUGAAGGCCUACCAAGGCGAUGACGGGUAGCCGACCUGAGAGGGUGGCCGGCCACACUGGAACUGAGAUACGGUCCAGACUCCUACGGGAGGCAGCAGUGGGGAAUAUUGGACAAUGGGCGCAAGCCUGAUCCAGCAAUGCCGCGUGUGUGAAGAAGGCCUGCGGGUUGUAAAGCACUUUCAGUGGGAAGAACAGAUUCGGGUCAAUACCCGGAGCCCUGACGUUACCCACAGAAGAAGCACCGGCUAACUCCGUGCCAGCAGCCGCGGUAAUGUGUG
RNAcentral lists this ribosomal RNA (502 nucleotides) under uncultured bacterium. RNAcentral describes it as "bacterial SSU rRNA". It matches the Rfam family "Bacterial small subunit ribosomal RNA", at positions 28 to 529 of the family's 1533-position model. The record is from RNAcentral.